Molecule: long non-coding RNA, 343 nt
Organism: Pollicipes pollicipes
Lineage: Eukaryota; Metazoa; Arthropoda; Thecostraca; Pollicipedomorpha; Pollicipedidae
Exons: 3
Source: RefSeq, a predicted model, not a curated record
CCUGGUUGUGGUACGCCUUGCCCUCAAGACUAUCAUGGAGUAUGAGGUGCGGGAAGGUAGGCGACGGGGCAGCCGCGUCUACGCAUGUGCUGACGGCCACAUCUACGUUUCGAAAACCAAGAUUGGACUCAGCACAUAUCUCCAGUGCCAUCAGCGUGAGAACACUGCAGUGAGAUGCUUGGGGACGGCCGUUUUGAACGGUGGGCGCAUCCGCCUAAACCGGCCGCAUACUCAUGCUCCACUUCACCUGGAUAACGAGAUGUUGAGCGUGACGUCGGCAAUUAGGACUGCUGUCCAAAAUGAUGUAGAGGGGAGGACAAACCGCCAAAUUUUCAAUCACCUG